UACGGGGGGGGCAAGCGUUGUUCGGAAUUACUGGGCGUAAAGGGCUCGUAGGCGGCCAACUAAGUCGGAUGUGAAAUCCCCAGGCUUAACCUGGGAACUGCAUCCGAUACUGGAUGGCUUGAAUCCGGGAGAGGGAUGCAGAAUUCCAGGUGUAGCGGUGAAAUGCGUAGAUAUCUGGAGGAACACCGGUGGCGAAGGCGGGUCUCUGGGCCGUAACUGACGCUGAGGAGCGAAAGCGUGGGGAGCGAACAGG
Molecule: ribosomal RNA, 253 nt
Filed under: uncultured bacterium
Lineage: Bacteria
Description: partial 16S ribosomal RNA
Rfam family: Bacterial small subunit ribosomal RNA
Source: RNAcentral